AAAACUAAGACAUCUAGCUCUUUUAAUCCGUCUUCUUUUUCUUCUUGUUUUUUCUCCAUCUCCGCAUUUCUCAUGUCUGUGUUUCAUAACACGGGCGGCUCCUAGUAGAUGCAUAUGAAAUCAGAUACUUGAACAUGGGAUGUUGUUGUGUGUAAGGCAUCUAGGUCUUGUUUUAAAGUCGUAAAUCAAUUGGACACAUUUGAAGCUCAUCUGUGUUUCCGAGCAAGUGCCAUAAAGUGAUUUAUUGAUGAGA
Caenorhabditis elegans is the source of this 253-nucleotide non-coding RNA. Lineage: Eukaryota; Metazoa; Nematoda; Chromadorea; Rhabditida; Rhabditidae. The record is from Ensembl.